RNAcentral lists this ribosomal RNA (305 nucleotides) under uncultured bacterium. RNAcentral describes it as "bacterial SSU rRNA". It matches the Rfam family "Bacterial small subunit ribosomal RNA", at positions 335 to 638 of the family's 1533-position model. The record is from RNAcentral.
UCGCCUACGGGGCGCAGCAGUGAGGAAUAUUGGUCAAUGGGCGGGAGCCUGAACCAGCCAAGUCGCGUGAGGGAAGAAGGUACUGAGUAUUGUAAACCUCUUUUGCCAGGGGACAAAGGCGGCCACGGGUGGCCGUAAGAGGGUACCUGGAGAAAAAGCAUCGGCUAACUCCGUGCCAGCAGCCGCGGUAAUACGGAGGAUGCGAGCGUUAUCCGGAUUUAUUGGGUUUAAAGGGUGCGCAGGCGGAAGAUCAAGUCAGCGGUAAAAUUGAGAGGCUCAACCUCUUCGAGCCGUUGCAACUGGUU